GACGAACGCUGGCGGCGUGCCUAACACACGCAAGUCGAACGGAGAUUUCAGUAAUGAAAUCUUAGUGGCGAACGGGUGAGUAACGCGUAGACAACCUGCCUUUUAGAUGGGGACAACACCGCGAAAGUGGUGCUAAUACCGAAUGUUGUAUUUUAAUCGCAUGAUUGAGAUACUAAAGAUGGCCUCUGUAUAUGCUAUCGCUAAAAGAGGGGUCUGCGUCUGAUUAGCUAGUUGGUGAGGUAAUGGCUCACCAAGGCGACGAUCAGUAGCCGGUCUGAGAGGAUGAACGGCCACACUGGGACUGAGACACGGCCCAGACUCCUACGGGAGGCAGCAGUGGGGAAUCUUCCGCAAUGGACGAAAGUCUGACGGAGCAACGCCGCGUGAGUGAAGAAGGUUUUCGGAUCGUAAAACUCUGUUUUCAGGGACGAAUGUGCAGAUUGUGAAUAAUGAUUUGUAAUGACGGUACCUGAGUAGAAAGCCACGGCUAACUACGUGCCAGCAGCCGCAGUAA
RNAcentral lists this ribosomal RNA (514 nucleotides) under uncultured bacterium. RNAcentral describes it as "partial 16S ribosomal RNA". It matches the Rfam family "Bacterial small subunit ribosomal RNA", at positions 28 to 523 of the family's 1533-position model. The record is from RNAcentral.